UUUAAACCCUAACUUACAGAAGUAUAACAAAUAUUUGUAGGGAAGAAAUACUUUGACAGUGUGUAAAGCAGUAAGACGAGUUUCUUUUCUGUCACAUAAAUGCCAAAAGUCUUGCAAAAGUCUUCUGAUGAUGAGAAUCACAGUUUAAAGCUGGGUGGAAACCAAGGCUAUAUCCUACCCUGGGAAUAGUAGACUUUAUCUUCUGAUAUCUCUCCUGUCCCUGACUGUUGCAAUGAGGUGCUGAGUACUAGCUAGCUAUGUAGAAGAGGUUAGGAGAUUGGGGUGAAGAAUUUAUUUAAAAAGAUGCUCUAUUGAGAAUCUUGGGUCAUUACCCCAACAGGUAAAAAAUGCAUUAAAAUCAUCUAUGCUGACAUCAAUAUAGUUUGAAAAAAUGUAGAUUACCAGGCUGAUUUGGAUCACUCAAAAGCAUUGGGUAAACAUCUGUGUGUGGCACUACACAAAGGAAACUAAACAGAAGUGUCCUGCUUCAAGGGCACAAUUAUAGGCGAUUUUUAUAAAGGCAUUGAUACAUCCAGGAAGUCUACGAAAGCCUGCUGGUUCCAGUUUGCCUAAAGUAUGAGGGGAUUCAGGAAAUAAGUUACUAUACCCUAUAAAGUUAGAAGGACCCUUAGGCAUCCAGUGAGACUGCCAGUUGAGGACUCUGGUUCAGAUCAAAAGACAUCUGGCAGAAACUGACUGCUAGAAAAGGGGCUGUUGAGGCUCUUUUUCUAAUCCACAUUUGAGAGGGCAAAUGACAAGCAUCCCCUUUGGCUCAAAGGGGAGAGGCAGAGUCCAGGAUGUUUAACAUUCAUUAGGCGCUAGAUACUGAACAGAUCAGCUCAUGGAUACUCUUCAUGAUCUGAAGGAACUAUUGAACCUCUUCCCAGAGAAAGGCACUCACAGACGUGCAUGAAAUUUGGCGCCGUGACUCGGAUUGGGGGAACUCCCCUGGGAGAUCAAUCCCCUGUCCUCUUGUUCUUUGCUCCAUGAGAAAGAUCCACCUACGACCUCAGGUCCUCAGACUGACCAGCCCAAGGAACAUCUCACCAAUUUUAAAUCAGGUAGGUGGCCUCUUCUUACUCUCUUCUCCAACCUCUCUCACUGUCCCUCAACCACUUUCUUCUUUCCACUCUUCAAUCUCUCCCUUCUCUUAAUUUCAAUUCCUUUCAUUUUCUGGGAGAGACAAAGGAGACACGUUUUAUCUGUGGACCCAAAACUCCGGCGCCAGUCACAGACUGGGAAGGCAGGCUUCCCUUGGUGUUUAAUCAUUGCAGGGAUGCCUCUCUGAUUAUUCACCCACGUUUCAAAGGUGUCAGACCACGCAGGGACGCCUGCCUUGGUCCUUCACGCUUAGCAGCAAGUCCCGCUUUUCUGGGGAAGAGGCAAGUACCCCAACCCCUUCUCUCCUUGUCUCUACCCCUUCUCUCCUUUCCUGGGGCAGGGGCAAGUACCCCUCAACCCCUUCUCCUUCACCCUUAGUGGCAAGUCCUGCUUUUCUGGGUGAGGGGCAAGUACCCCUCAACCCCUUCUCCUUCACCCUUAGUGGCAAGUCCCGCUUUUCUGGGGGAGGGGCAAGUACCCCUCAACCCCUUCUCUUUCACCCUUAGCGGCAAGUCCCGCUUUUCUAGGGGGCAAGAACCCCCAAUCCCUUAUUUCCGCACCCCAACCUCGUAUCUCUGUGCCCCAAUCCCUUAUUUCCAUGCCCUGACCCCUUAUUUCCAUGCCCCAACCCCUUAUUUCCAUGCCCUGACCUCUUAUCUCUGUGCCCUAACCCCUUUUCCCACUUUUCUGGAAGGGAAGAACCCCCAAACCCCUUCCCUCCAUUUCUCUACUCUCUUCUCUAGGCUUGCUUCCUUCACUAUAGGCAACCUUCCACCCUCCAUUCCUCCUUCUACUCCCUUGGCCUGUGUUCUCAAAAACUUAAAAUCUCUUCAACUCACAACUGACCUAAAACCUAAAUGCCUUAUUUUCUUCUGCAAUGCCACUUGACCCCAAUACAAACUCGACUGUAGUUCCAAAUAGCCAGAAAAUGGCACUUUGAAUUUUUCCAUCCUGCAAGAUCUAAAUAAUUCUUGUCCUAAAAUAGGCAAACAGUCUGAGGUGCCUGACGUCCAGGCAUUCUUUUACACAUCAGUCCCUUCCUUGUCUCUGUGCCCAGUGCAAAUCAUCCCAAAUCUUCCUUCUUUCCCUCCCGCCUGUCCCCUAAGUCCCAAACCCAAGCAUCGAUGAGUCUUUCUAAUCUUCCUUUUCUACAGACCCAUCUGACCUCUCCCCUCCUUGCCAGGCCUAGCUAGGUCCCAAUGCUUCCUCAGCCUCCGCUCCUCCACCCUAUAAUCUUUUUAUCGCCUCCCCUCCUCACACCUGGUCUGGCUUACAGUUUCGUUCUUGACUAGCCCUCCCCCACCUGCCCAGCAAUUUACUCUUAAAAAGGUGGCUGGAGCCAAAGGCAUAGUCAAGGUUAAUGCUCCUUUUUCUUUAUCCCAAAUCGGAUAGCGUUUAGGCUCUUUUUCAUCAAAUAUAAAAAUCCAGCCCAGUUCAUGACUUGUUUGGCAGCAACCCUGAGA
This 2564-nucleotide long non-coding RNA is filed under the name Homo sapiens (human). Its description in RNAcentral is "HSALNT0112497". The record is from RNAcentral. Lineage: Eukaryota; Metazoa; Chordata; Mammalia; Primates; Hominidae.